GAUGAAGAACGCAGCGAAAUGCGAUAAGUAAUGCGAAUUGCAGAAUUCAGUGAGUCAUCGAAUCUUUGAACGCACAUUGCGCCCCCUGGUAUUCCGGGGGGCAUGCCUGUUCGAGCGUCAUUUCACCACUCAAGCCUCGCUUGGUAUUGGGCGACGCGGUCCGCCGCGCGCCUCAAAUCGACCGGCUGGGUCUUCCGUCCCCUCAGCGUUGUGGAAACUAUUCGCUAAAGGGUGCCGCGGGAGGUCACGCCGCAAAACAACCCCAUUUCUAAGGUUGACCUCGGAUCAGGUAGGGAUACCCGCUGAACUUAAGCAUAUCAAUAAGCGGAGGA
This 332-nucleotide unclassified non-coding RNA is filed under the name soil metagenome. Its description in RNAcentral is "partial contains 5.8S ribosomal RNA, internal transcribed spacer 2, and large subunit ribosomal RNA". The stretch from base 1 to 120 matches the Rfam family "5.8S ribosomal RNA", at positions 35 to 154 of the family's 154-position model. The record is from RNAcentral.